RNAcentral lists this ribosomal RNA (507 nucleotides) under uncultured bacterium. Its description in RNAcentral is "partial 16S ribosomal RNA". It matches the Rfam family "Bacterial small subunit ribosomal RNA", at positions 28 to 507 of the family's 1533-position model. The record is from RNAcentral.
GACGAACGCUGGCGGCGUGCCUAAUACAUGCAAGUCGAACGCAUUUUCUUUCACCGUAGCUUGCUACACCGACAGAAAAUGAGUGGCGAACGGGUGACUAACACGUGGGUAACCUGCCCAUCAGCGGGGGAUAACACUUGGAAACAGGUGCUAAUACCGCAUAAUUCCAUUUACCGCAUGGUAGAUGGGUGAAAGGCGCUUUUGCGUCACUGAUGGAUGGACCCGCGGUUCAUUAGCUAGUUGGUGGGGUAACGGCCUACCAAGGCUGCGAUGCAUAGCCGACCUGAGAGGGUGAUCGGCCACACUGGGACUGAGACACGGCCCAGACUCCUACGGGAGGCAGCAGUAGGGAAUCUUCGGCAAUGGACGCAAGUCUGACCGAGCAACGCCGCGUGAGUGAAGAAGGUUUUCGGAUCGUAAAACUCUGUUGUUAGAGAAGAACAAGGAUGAGAGUGGAAAGUUCAUCCCUUGACGGUAUCUAACCAGAAAGCCACGGCUAACUACGUG